GUACCGUGACAUUGAGUAGGCGCGAAGUAUAUCACUCUAGCAUGCCAUGCUCCAGUGCAUGUCAACGUCUUCUCCACUGCAAUGGAAGCUGCAGAUUUUGCUCUGCUCUACUUGCCUUGCUAGUGUUCACUUUAAUGCCUCAAAGGUGCAUUGUGCAUCUUUUGCACUCUAAAGAAAGAGCUUGAUUAGUCUGUUUCUACUAUUAGUUCAUGCAAACCUGGUUAUAUGAUGUCUUUUUUUUCAUUGUUACUCGAUGUCUCAUUUUCUUGUUUUCUGUUAUAUUUUUCUAGGGAAGGUUCUUGUAAUUAUUAGUUCUUUGAUUGUAUGAUGCAACCGCUUACUCGAUGUCGUUGUCAUUGUUCUUCUAGUUGCAUAUAUGGAAGUGUGUGCUUGGUUUGGUUCCAUUUAUCUUUCUCUCAUGCCUGCCCUUUUGAUCUUAUAGGAAUUGAGGCUUCGCCAAGGAACAAGACUGGUAACUAGCGCAAAGGAGACCAUGUCGAGAGGUGGCACUACUAGACUUUCUGAUGUGUAGUUAUGGCAUAAAAAGACGAAAAAAUGGUGUCCAUAAGGUGUACGUAGCAAAUCUUCCCAUGUGGAUCAGUACAACUUAUGUAUGGCCUUGAGUUCACAAAUCUUAUAGUAAUCUUUGUAGCUCUUCGUAAAACUUCGUAAAGCAAGAUUGGCC
Molecule: long non-coding RNA, 685 nt
Filed under: Triticum aestivum (bread wheat)
Lineage: Eukaryota; Viridiplantae; Streptophyta; Magnoliopsida; Poales; Poaceae
Description: long non-coding RNA (TAES_LNC027362)
Source: RNAcentral